Molecule: antisense RNA, 47 nt
Filed under: Brucella anthropi
Lineage: Bacteria; Pseudomonadati; Pseudomonadota; Alphaproteobacteria; Hyphomicrobiales; Brucellaceae
Description: Ochrobactrum anthropi ctRNA
Rfam family: ctRNA
About the family: This family represents a group of ctRNAs (or counter-transcribed RNAs) from p42d and related plasmids. ctRNAs are small, highly structured, antisense sequences which are involved in negative regulation. Members of this family are known to bind to the mRNA of repC causing translational repression. This model contains the predicted stem-loop structure followed by a U-rich tract which is proposed to act as a Rho-independent transcriptional terminator.
Source: RNAcentral
AGAGAGGCUUCCACGAUGGCGACGUUUUGGGAGCUUUUUUCUUUUGU